RNAcentral lists this ribosomal RNA (212 nucleotides) under uncultured bacterium. RNAcentral describes it as "partial 16S ribosomal RNA". It matches the Rfam family "Bacterial small subunit ribosomal RNA", at positions 582 to 793 of the family's 1533-position model. The record is from RNAcentral.
GUUAAGUCAGAUGUGAAAGCCCGGGGCUCAACCUCGGAAUUGCAUUUGAAACUGGCAAACUAGAGUACUGUAGAGGGGGUAGAAUUUCAGGUGUAGCGGUGAAAUGCGUAGAGAUCUGAAGGAAUACCGGUGGCGAAGGCGGCCCCCCUGGACAGAUACUGACACUCAGAUGCGAAAGCGUGGGGAGCAAACAGGAUUAGAUACCCUGGUAG